RNAcentral lists this ribosomal RNA (497 nucleotides) under uncultured bacterium. RNAcentral describes it as "partial 16S ribosomal RNA". It matches the Rfam family "Bacterial small subunit ribosomal RNA", at positions 28 to 507 of the family's 1533-position model. The record is from RNAcentral.
GAUGAACGCUGGCGGCGUGCCUAAUACAUGCAAGUCGAGCGAACAGAUGAGGAGCUUGCUCCUCUGACGUUAGCGGCGGACGGGUGAGUAACACGUGGAUAACCUACCUAUAAGACUGGGAUAACUUCGGGAAACCGGAGCUAAUACCGGAUAAUAUAUUGAACCGCAUGGUUCAAUAGUGAAAGACGGUUUUGCUGUCACUUAUAGAUGGAUCCGCGCCGCAUUAGCUAGUUGGUAAGGUAACGGCUUACCAAGGCAACGAUGCGUAGCCGACCUGAGAGGGUGAUCGGCCACACUGGAACUGAGACACGGUCCAGACUCCUACGGGAGGCAGCAGUAGGGAAUCUUCCGCAAUGGGCGAAAGCCUGACGGAGCAACGCCGCGUGGGUGAGGAAGGUCUUCGGAUCGUAAAACUCUGUUAUUAGGGAAGAACAAAUGUGUAAGUAACUAUGCACGUCUUGACGGUACCUAAUCAGAAAGCCACGGCUAACUACGUG